UAGGGAAUCUUCCACAAUGGGCGAAAGCCUGAUGGAGCAACACCGCGUGAGUGAAGAAGGGUUUCGGCUCGUAAAGCUCUGUUGUUAAAGAAGAACACGUAUGAGAGUAACUGUUCAUACGUUGACGGUAUUUAACCAGAAAGUCACGGCUAACUACGUGCCA
Molecule: ribosomal RNA, 163 nt
Filed under: uncultured bacterium
Lineage: Bacteria
Description: partial 16S ribosomal RNA
Rfam family: Bacterial small subunit ribosomal RNA
Source: RNAcentral